Molecule: ribosomal RNA, 478 nt
Filed under: uncultured bacterium
Lineage: Bacteria
Description: bacterial SSU rRNA
Rfam family: Bacterial small subunit ribosomal RNA
Source: RNAcentral
AUUGAACGCUGGCGGAAUGCUUUACACAUGCAAGUCGAGCGGCAGCGCGGGGCAACCUGGCGGCGAGCGGCGAACGGGUGAGUAAUACAUCGGAACGUACCCAGUUGUGGGGGAUAGCCCGGCGAAAGCCGGAUUAAUACCGCAUACGACCUGAGGGUGAAAGGGGGGNGUCGCAAGACCUCUCGCAGUUGGAGCGGCCGAUGGCGGAUUAGCUAGUUGGUAGGGUAAAGGCCUACCAAGGCGACGAUCCGUAGCUGGUCUGAGAGGACGACCAGCCACACUGGGACUGAGACACGGCCCAGACUCCUACGGGAGGCAGCAGUAGGGAAUAUUGGACAAUGGGGGGGAACCCGUGAUCCAGCCAUGCCGCGUGAGGGAAGAAGGUCCUCUGGAUUGUAAACCUCUUUUGGCAGGAAACAAACCUGCGCUAUACGCGCAGCUGAGGGUACCUGCAGAAUAAGCACCGGCUAACUCCGUG